Patella vulgata (common limpet) is the source of this 476-nucleotide long non-coding RNA. RefSeq lists it as uncharacterized. The transcript is spliced from 4 exons. The record is from RefSeq and is a predicted model, not a curated record. Lineage: Eukaryota; Metazoa; Mollusca; Gastropoda; Patellidae.
AUAGAUUUUGAUCAAUUAUAUUGGACAUGUUUAAACUGCGUGUAUUUAAAAUGGCGAGCGUUAUGCUGUGUACAAUAUUAGAGCUUGUUAUUGGACUCGUUUUUUCUACAACAAUCAAUGUAGUGAAAGAUCCGUGUCCUCUACAAACUCUAGAGAUUAAAGGCAUUCAUUUAGUCGAUUGUUCAUCUGAACCUGCAAGUACCACCAAUUCUUACGUGGCCCACGGGAUUACAUGUAGAGUGACCUGUAAAUCUGACUAUUCUGGUGUAACACAGAUCCAAUGUUCUGAAGGUCAAUGGCAAGGCUCACCCAUACAAUGCCCAGAAUAUGAGCAAGGGGAAACAGUCAAAAUAUCACGAAGAAAGCGUUCGUGUUUAUUUAGUGUAUGUAAACUACCAGCAGCGACUAACUGAAAGAGACCUUCAAACUACAGACUAUUUAUAAACACCCCGUUGAUCUGUUUCUACGUCAUAAAG